GACGUCCUUUUUUCCGGGAGCUGCAUGGGGACUGCAGGAGUCUAAAACCUCGCUGUGAUUUAUGGGGAAUAGUUAUUAAUAUUGGGUCAAAUAAUCCAGUAUUUCACUCUGGUGCUGAAGGUCCGCUGUGCUGCUCUUUACUGAGUUUCCCCCUUUACUCUGUUUUCGUUUAAAGCCCCUCAGUCUUAAAACAGAGGCACCAGCGGGCCUUCCGCACCGAUAGUGAUUAUUACCCUGCCGGUAGUGUAGCGCGGCGGAGCUCUGUAAGUCCCGGCCCAGUUCCAAAAGACACAACAUCCUCAGUGUCCUGGAGAUCCAGCUGAAGCACUGGCCACUCCACCUUCUCCAUCCCCAAAAGAGGAAGAUCAGCAGCAGUGGAGGGUCCCAGGAUGUUGAGAUGGUAGUGCAUAGCGGUACUUCUAAGGCAGCUAGUUGAAGGCGUGAUUGAGGUCCAUGCCAGAGGGGUUCUGCACUGUGACCUCAAGCCAUAGAACAUCCUGGUUCAGAUGUACAGUUAGGAACCACGCCUUCAUCUUCUGUUCUUCUGGACCUUCCUCAUGAGUGGUUUACCCAUGAGGCCAAAUCCUCCACAGUGUUGCAGAUAGGAAUCAUCCUGCUGUGUGUGAGAGGUGACCCUUCAACACCAGCAUGGAGAUCACCUCAAAGAAGUCUCAGAUCAUCUCUCCACCAUCUGCUCUAUGACCCCUGGCGAAGUAUACACCACGACACAGCCACCACAUCAGGCACACCUCAGUCAGGUACCAUAUAAAACAAUAAUAAUAAUAAUAAUUUAAAAAAUCUAUUUUCAAUCUCUAGUUUAGAGAGUUCUCUAGUAGAGCUGGGCGAUUAAUCGAUUUUAUCGAUAAAUUCGAAUUUACAGUUAAGGACAAUGUGUUUUUAUGAAAAUCGAUUUUCUCUGAGUUUUCUUUUUCACUACAGACGCUCCUCUGUGGGCACAGAGUGAGCUUAGCUAGCUCCCUCCAUACCUCCCUCCCUCCCGUGCGCGCACCCCCCGCCCCUCCCUCACUCCCUCCCUCCCUCCCUUGCACGCACAAACACACACAUACAUACACAAAACACAUGACUGCGGAGCUUAAGAGCAACUAGCUCCGUGAUCUGGAGUUGGUUCGGUUUUGCGGCGUCGGACGUAGACCAAACAGGUCCUCGCUGUAAGGUGAACCAAUUUAUCACUAUACCUUAAACAGAAGCAUGUAGCGGAGUGGGAGAAGUGCUGCUACCAUAGGAAUGAACGCAGCAGCAGCACUAGUUCACCAUUCAACGUUAAACAAGGAACUGUCCCUGGCACAUCUUCCAACCGUGUACCAGGUUCUGUAUGCACUACAAGUUAAGAUGUUUUGCAUAUUCAUGAGAAAAGAUCUCAUUUUAUAGAACACUGGCACUUAUUUAAAAGCUUUGUUUUGCAAUUCUAGCCCAAUAGGGAAAAGUAUUUACUUAAGAGCAUAUAAAUUGUACUUGUUUUCUAUGGUCUACUUUGCAAGUUUUAUCAAAAAAGGGCACCAUUUUAUUUAUUUCUAUUUGUUUUUAAGGGUGUGUUUAUUUAUUUAUUUUUUAAGUUUGAGGGUGCAUUGUGUCAGUACCUAAACUAUGUUGGAGAAAGCUUUCUAAAAGUCACUAGAUGUUCUCACUGUUUACAAUAGUUUUUUUUUGCUUGUUUCUGGUUGCACUUUAACCACAAAUGGAACAUUUUAAGUGAAAACAAAUUAAAUAAGAACUAGUUUUUAACCAUUUCUUUAUCAUCUUUAGUUUGAUUUUUAGUAGGGGGAAAAAUCUAUUUAAAUAAAAAAUUGGAUUAAAAAAAAAAAAUCCAAGUUUUUUUUUUUUUUCGGCCAUAUCGCCCAGUUCUAUUCUCUAGUUUAGAGGGUUUUUUAUAAAACACACCUAAGGAAAAUAGCAGGUAUUAAUAAAGCUAUUGAUUCCAUACUUUUAAAAAGGUAAUGAUUUUCUUUAACUAUAUAAAUGUUUUAAUCGUUUUGUGUAUUGUAUGCUUUUAGUUGCUUCCUGUUUUGUAUUUGUGUUCAUGUACUUAAGGCUUUAAUCCUUUUAUCUUGAUAUUGUUUAUCUUUUGAUGUUUAUUAAUUACUUAACUGUAUUUAUCUUUAUGUAGUAUACUGUUAGUGUUUUAAUCCAUACACUUUUUGUAUAUAUUUCUUUUAUUGCUUAGUUACUUGCUAUAUUAAUGGUUAUUAUAUUGGUGUUUUAGUCUUAUUUUGGGCUUAUAUUCAUUAAAAACAUUUUAACGUUUGUCUAUUAGUGCUUUAAUUAAUUAAUAUUGUACUUACCUUUUACUAUUUUACUAUUAAUCUUUCUGUACUUAAUUCUGAUAUUUAUACAUUAUUUUUUAUAUAAUUUUAUUUCAGCUUUGUAUUACAUUGUUUAUUAAUUGUAUGUCUUUAUACGGGAUUUUAUAUUUGCAUUGUAUAUAUUUUUGUUUCAUUUAAUGUUUAUGCUCUUUGUCUUUUUCAGAUUUUUACAUUUUUCAAUUUGUGUAUUGACCCAAGGAGUAUGGGUUCCUCUCAAGGUUUCUAUCUCUCUUUCUGAGAGAAUUUUCUUUGCCGCUGUCUCCUUUGUGCUUACUCAAAAGAGGUUUGGACACUUUUUUUUUUUUUAACUGUUCUUAAUUUUGUUUGUUUCUUAACUUUGUCAAUAAAUGUUUUUUUAUUGCUAUCA
Astyanax mexicanus (Mexican tetra) is the source of this 2688-nucleotide long non-coding RNA. RefSeq lists it as uncharacterized. The record is from RefSeq and is a predicted model, not a curated record. The transcript has 4 exons. Lineage: Eukaryota; Metazoa; Chordata; Actinopteri; Characiformes; Acestrorhamphidae.